This 235-nucleotide long non-coding RNA is filed under the name Trifolium pratense (red clover). RNAcentral describes it as "long non-coding RNA (TPRA_LNC008898)". Lineage: Eukaryota; Viridiplantae; Streptophyta; Magnoliopsida; Fabales; Fabaceae. The record is from RNAcentral.
UUUGAAGAGGUGCAUUAUAUUUUAUUCUAAUAGUGUAAUAGUAUAAGAACUUAAUUUUCUUUUUAUGCAUCGUGGUAGUAUAGUCGCAACUUGCUUUGCUUUUUUACUUUUUUUUCUUCUUACCGUUGUUUUUUUACUUUUGUAUGUUAGAGGUAGUCAUGCUUGCCUUGUGCUGAUAUAUUGACUUUGUUGAGCUGAGUUUUAUUGAUUAUUAUUCAUUAUAUAUAUAUAUAUA